This is a long non-coding RNA of Suricata suricatta (meerkat), 576 nucleotides long. RefSeq lists it as uncharacterized. The transcript has 2 exons. NCBI's taxonomy places the organism in Eukaryota, Metazoa, Chordata, Mammalia, Carnivora, Herpestidae. The record is from RefSeq and is a predicted model, not a curated record.
CCUCCCUGCCCCAUCUCAAGGCUCAGAAAACUAUUUUCAGGUAAAUAGCCAGAAAACCCACGUUGAGAUUCUAACAUCUACCAUGACUGAAUGCAGCCACCCUAGGAUACAAGACUUCUACCCAUCCCUUAGGACUCCACAAACUUUCUUCAGGAACAUAGAAGAAAGUAUCACCAAGGACAGCACCGGGUAGGAAGAAGACAGCAACUGGCCAGUUCUUCAGUGUGUGGUCCUGAAGGAGUGUGGGAGGAAUACGGAGAGCACUUGGGGAAUGUUUAGGAGGAGAGGAAGAAGAAGGUGGUGAUGAAGGCAUUACUGAAGAGGCUUCACUUGUUCUCAGGCACAUGGCACAGCCUCAGUGAGAAGCAAGCCAUUUCAUGAAGAAACUUCCCAGCACUAUUGCAGAGCAGCGCUCUGUAGAAGAUACAAAUAUUCCUGCAUGGUGACAUACUCUUACCAGAACUCCGAAGCAUCUCUGCUGUAUUACCUUCCACAUUUUCUCCCAGAACAAAAAUGAAACAGCCCAACAUUGAGAAUCUCUUGAUCAAUAAAGUCUGAUCACUGCAACACUUAAAA